GCCCCGCCCCUUCACCUGGAGCCCACAGGUUCGAUCAGCUGACGCCCGCGUCUCCACACCUACAGUCUUAAGUUUGUAGAGACCUGUCCGUCGGUGCCAGGAGACCUCAGCUCUCAGGGGAACGCAGAUUGCUCGCGUGGUCACGAGAAGAGCCAAGAUUUACAAAAACAAACAGUUGAGGGGCCCUCAAAAAGGCCUUGACACUGGAAUGGCCCAUUGGUAUCCAUGGGAACUGAAAGGACAAAGGCUAAAAUUGGUGAGCAGGUGUUGCUUAAGAAAACAUUUAAAAGUUGGAAGUAACUGUAAAGGAAAUAGAAGGGAUUCAAGAAGUCCAAGUCCCCUUAGGAACUAGGAGGGUAGGCCAGUGGUGGGGUGCUUGCUUACACUGCACAAAGCCCUGGGUCCCAUACCAGACAGUUUAUAAAACGAAGCAGGAUGGUGUGGCACAGCCCUGUAACCUCAGACCUUGGAGGUGGAGAGAGGAGUACCACAAAUUCACGAUCCCUUUCAGCUACAAAUCAAAUUCAGGGCCAGCCUGGGCUACGUGAGACACCAUCAAAAAAGGAAGAGGAGGGAAGACUGUACAUCCUGUCAUCCAGUUACUGAAGAGGACAUAGAAGAUAUAGAACAACUGGGAUUGUUGCUUUCUUCAUGAACCAUAGGAUAACCGGCAGAGAAAAAUGGUAGCGAAGGAGGCAGCAACACUUCGAGAAAUACCAAGUGCAAGGGUUUAUUAGGCAAGAAGAUUCAAGGGGCCUGGAGAGAUGGCUCAGCGGUUAAGAGCACUGACUGCUCUUCCAGAGGUUGAGUUUGAUUCCCAGCAACCACGUGGCGACUCACAACCAUCUGUAAUGAGAUCCGAUGCCCUCUUUUGGUGUUCUGAAGACAGCUACAGUGUACUCACAUAAAGAAAAUAAAUACAUCUUUAAAAAAAGAAUUCAAGGAGAGAAACAUGCACAUUAGCUAUCCUAGAUCUUUAGUAAAUUUCAUUUUUUUUCUAUGAAACCGUACUGGUCAGCCUAGCAUAGGAGUGAAAACUUUAAUUCCUGGAAAGCAUCUCUCUGAGUUCAAGGCCAACCUAGACUACACUGCAGGUUCCAAGCCAGCCAGAGUUAUAUAUUGAGACCCUUGCCACAAACAAAACGACAAAAGUACUGGUCAGAUCCAGGCUCAAGAAGUUGUAAGUACCUUAGGUAGGUAGUUACGACAAGUUUCACUUCAAUACGAACAGAAUAAACCCAGUGUGCUGACUAAACGUGAGUCUAUGGUGAAAACUGACCUUGUUUCAUACAAGUUGCCAAGUUCAAGGGCAAAAAUGGAGAAAAUGAGGAAGGUAAUGCCCGAUGAUUAAGCACGGGAGGCAAGGAACCCAGAAUGCUGGGAGAGCCUGGUACCCAGCUAAACACAUGGACAAGUUACAAUGGUUCUUAAAAUUAGAGAUCACCAGGAUAAAUGGAAAAUGUUCUAAGGAAAACACUGGAAAUGCCCGAGGUGGACCCAGCAGCCCUCCAGGCACAACAACAAAGCAAAGCUGUAAAUAGGCUAAGGAGUAUAACAAUUCCACUUCUCCAUACACACCAAGAGUAGUGACCCCAAGUUAUCACCCAGAAGCUUCCAUUCAGAUGCUGGUAGCUGUGCUGUUGACAGCAGCCAAGUGGAAACCCAAGUGUCCAUUAGAGUUUAGCUCUAGCAUUUUCAUUCAGUACAACAGUAGCUCUCAACCUGUGAACUGUGACCACCCCCCGCCCCCCAGUGGCCGAAUAUCAGACCUGUAAGUCAGAUAUUUACUUAUGAUUAAUAAUAGCAAAAUUAGUUAUGAAGUAGCAACAAAAUACUUUUAUGGUUGGGGUCAAUAUGAGGAGCUAUAGUAAAGGGUCGCAGCAUUAAGAAAGUUGAGAACCAGUAGAUUAGAGGUGCUUUGGAAAAGGAAAUGACCACUAAUGGUAUAGGGUUUCUUUUGGGAGGUGAUGAAGAUAUUCUGGAAUUAGAUAAUAGUGAUGGUUAUAUAGCAUUGUAAAAUCUACAAGAAAACUUUUAGCAAGGUGUAGCCAGUGAGAUGCCUUAACAGGUAAAAGUGCUUGCCACCAAGCGUAAAAAUUUAAGAUUGAUGGCUGGGAUCCACAGUGUGGGAGAAAAGAAGCCAAAAGCUGUCUUCUGAUGUGUAAAUCUCGUGUGUGAGCACACAUGCCCUCCCCCCAACACACACAUACACAAUUCUUAAAGUGAUUGUAAGGCGUGUAAAUUAUCUCUUUAAAAAAAAACUGCAAGGGCUGAAGAGAUGGCUUAGUGGUUAAGAGCACUGACUGCUCUUCCAGAGGUCCUGAGUUCAAAUCCCAGCAACCACAUGGUGGCUCACAACCAUCUGUAAUGAGAUCUGAUGCCCUCUUCUGAUGUGUCUGAAGACAGCUACAGUGUACUUAUAUAUAAUAAAUAAAUCUUUUAAAAAAUGCAAAACUAAAACUCACCCAUCUCCCUAGAAAUCCCCUUUUCAGUGAACUUAUAAAUCUUAAGCUUACAGUAGACCUAUUUUCCUCAUACUGACAGUCAUCUCUAUUAAACUAUUUCAUGACCAUUAUUGCUAUACACUUGUCAUCAAAGGCCAGUAUGUACCAGUCAAUUCUUGCCUCCCUAUAUUUGCCCCCAACCUCUUCACUUUUGGCAUCAUCUCAAGUAAUAAAGUGAAUGACGGGC
This is a non-coding RNA of Rattus norvegicus (Norway rat), 2691 nucleotides long. The record is from RefSeq and is a predicted model, not a curated record. NCBI's taxonomy places the organism in Eukaryota, Metazoa, Chordata, Mammalia, Rodentia, Muridae.